UGAACGCGAAGAACCUUACCAAGCCUUGACAUCCCAUUGACAGAGUAUGUAAUGUGCUUUCCCUUCGGGGCAAUGGUGACAGGUGGUGCAUGGUUGUCGUUAGCUCGUGUCGUGAGAUGUUGGGUUAAGUCCCGCAACGAGCGCAACCCCUAUCUUCAGUAGCCAGCGGUUCGGCCGGGCACUCUAGGGAGACUGCCAGGGUGAACCUGGAGGAAGGUGGGGAUGACGUCAAAUCAUCAUGCCCCUUAUGACUUGGGCUACACACGUGCUACAAUGGCGCAAACAAAGGGAAGCGAGACCGUGAGGUGGAGCAAAUCCCAAAAAUAACGUCUCAGUUCGGACUGUAGUCUGCAACCCGACUACACGAAGCUGGAAUCGCUAGUAAUCGCAGAUCAGAAUGCUGCGGUGAAUACGUUCCCGGGUCUUGUACACACCG
RNAcentral lists this ribosomal RNA (436 nucleotides) under uncultured bacterium. Its description in RNAcentral is "bacterial SSU rRNA". It matches the Rfam family "Bacterial small subunit ribosomal RNA", at positions 956 to 1392 of the family's 1533-position model. The record is from RNAcentral.